GAUGAACGCUGACAGAAUGCUUAACACAUGCAAGUCAACUGUGGCGGACGGGUGAGUAACGCGUAAAGAACUUGCCUCACAGCUAGGGACAACAUUUGGAAACGAAUGCUAAUACCUGAUACUGUGAGAGAGCUUUGCGUCCCAUUAGCUAGUUGGAGAGGUAACGGCUCACCAAGGCGAUGAUGGGUAGCCGGCCUGAGACGGUGAUCGGCCACAAGGGGAAUGAGACGCGGCCCUUGCUACUACGGGGGGAAGCAGUGGGGAAUAAUGGACAAUGGACCAAAGUCUGAUACAGCAAUUCUGUGUGAACGAUGAAGUUUUCGGAAUAUAAAGUGCUUUCAGUUGGGAAGCGGUACCAACAGAAGAAGUGACGGCUAAAUACGUGCCAGCAGCCGCGGUAAUUC
This 404-nucleotide ribosomal RNA is filed under the name uncultured bacterium. RNAcentral's name for it is "partial 16S ribosomal RNA". It matches the Rfam family "Bacterial small subunit ribosomal RNA", at positions 28 to 526 of the family's 1533-position model. The record is from RNAcentral.